This 700-nucleotide unclassified non-coding RNA is filed under the name Acyrthosiphon pisum (pea aphid). RNAcentral's name for it is "aRL14 effector protein-like, transcript variant X1". The record is from RNAcentral. Lineage: Eukaryota; Metazoa; Arthropoda; Insecta; Hemiptera; Aphididae.
CAGUGGUUACCCUGUGACAAACUUGACGUGGUGUUGCACAGCGAGUCGGGGGAUAUUUUCGAUUUGCGGAGCGGUCUGGUAGGAUGUCUGGUAGGCCUAUCAUAAUAAUAUUAUGUUAAAGUAUUAAACAAUAAACAGUAUUUUCGAAAUUACGAAAGUAAGUGUAAGUAGUCAGUGAUUGUCGAUUGAAGACUGAAGUACUGAGAAUGAGAGAAGCAGAGAACUAAAGAAGAUCUCCUCUACUAUGUUUUGUCAACGAUCACUUUGAAAAAUACACAGAUUCAGAUCAGCGUAGACACUUAUCUGCAGAAAACAAUUAGAUAAUUUAUAUAGAAGUUUGUGCGUUGCCAUAAUGGAUAUAACUGAAAAAGUUUUGGAAAAAUUACAAAUCCAAGUACUCAAAGAUGGAAGUUGUGAUUGCAAUGAUGAAGAAUGCAUUGGGUGCUUUUGGCCGUGUGAAUCGUGCCAGUCAAACAAAUGUGGACACCUAUGCCGUAUCAAUCGUGGGUGGAAGUAUGAAGUAUGGGAAAGACAAGGAAGAAGUGAUAAAUAAUAAUUUGUAUCUUAAUUAUAUUUUAAAUAUUGUAAAUAUAACUAAAUACAAUUUAAUUCUAUGAUAAUAUUGUAAAUAAAUUGUAUGUUUUUAUCAAUCAACAAAUUUGUAUAGGACUAACCAAAUAAACCUUGAAGUUAUUCAGCA